Molecule: non-coding RNA, 245 nt
Filed under: Pseudomonadota bacterium
Lineage: Bacteria; Pseudomonadati; Pseudomonadota
Source: RNAcentral
AAUCUUUUCUAGUUGAAAGGUGCCUGCAUUAAUUUCAAAUUAAUAAAGGUGAAACUGGGAAAUAGGUGCGUUGCGUUUUGCUUUAGUUUUUCAUUUGAAGCAAGUUUAAACAAAACAAUCCCUAUGCUGCCCCCGCAACGGUAAGUGAGUGUAGUUUUGCAAUUAAGCCACUGAGUGCUAUUAACUUGGGAAGGCGCAAAUCAUUCCUCACAAGCCCGGAGACCGGCCUUGCAAUUAAAACGUUA